This 214-nucleotide long non-coding RNA is filed under the name Phascolarctos cinereus (koala). RNAcentral's name for it is "lncRNA (ENSPCIG00000033640.1)". The record is from RNAcentral. Lineage: Eukaryota; Metazoa; Chordata; Mammalia; Diprotodontia; Phascolarctidae.
CCUUGAGCCCAGACUGUCAAACUCAUCUGACAAGACACAGAUGCUGCGACUUGGAGAGAGGAUGAUUUGUUUACUCUUCAAUGCUAAUGGAAACAAAGACUUUGAUCCAGGAACAUGGCUGGACCCGGGACACAAACACACAAAAAAGAACACAGACUGUGAUUGUAUUGGAGUUUGUCUUUUUGACAGGUGUAGGGGAGGUAACCUAAUCUAA